UGGAUCAUCACAUUAUUCAAGAAAUCAUAUAUUACAAGAAAGACGUUAAAGAUCAUCAUAUGUGGAAGAGAGAACGGUCUAAAGCAAGACAGAGUACAAACAUUGGGUUCACAGCAAGAGUAGAUGCAAAAAUUAGACAGUUGAGAGGGAGGCUGCACAAAAAGUAUACUUCAAUGGGUUCCCAAAUUGAACUAACACAACCAUAGCUGUGCAUUACUGAUUUUUCCUUUCUUUAGGGAUUCUCUCCCUUUUUGAUUACAAAAGAAUGUAGGGUUUUUGCCAUUUGCAAUUCUUUUGCAGGCCCCUUUUUUUGACUUGUUUUUGUAAAAUCAUUUGUCUAGUUGUAGGUCUCAUUCGUUUGUUCCAAAGUUAGUGUGCUCACUGUAUUGUACAAUACUCA
RNAcentral lists this unclassified non-coding RNA (400 nucleotides) under Hevea brasiliensis (rubber tree). Lineage: Eukaryota; Viridiplantae; Streptophyta; Magnoliopsida; Malpighiales; Euphorbiaceae. The record is from RNAcentral.